GACGAACGCUGGCGGCGUGCCUAAUACAUGCAAGUUGAGCGCUGAAGGUUGGUACUUGUACCAACUGGAUGAGCAGCGAACGGGUGAGUAACGCGUGGGGAAUCUGCCUUUGAGCGGGGGACAACAUUUGGAAACGAAUGCUAAUACCGCAUAAAAACUUUAAACACAAGUUUUAAGUUUGAAAGAUGCAAUUGCAUCACUCAAAGAUGAUCCCGCGUUGUAUUAGCUAGUUGGUGAGGUAAAGGCUCACCAAGGCGAUGAUACAUAGCCGACCUGAGAGGGUGAUCGGCCACAUUGGGACUGAGACACGGCCCAAACUCCUACGGGAGGCAGCAGUAGGGAAUCUUCGGCAAUAGACGAAAGUCUGACCGAGCAACGCCGCGUGAGUGAAGAGGGUUUUCGGAUCGUAAAACUCUGUUGAUAGAGAAGAACGUUGGUGAGAGUGGAAAGCUCAUCAAGUGACGGUAACUACCCAGAAAGGGACGGCUAACUACGUG
Molecule: ribosomal RNA, 497 nt
Filed under: uncultured bacterium
Lineage: Bacteria
Description: partial 16S ribosomal RNA
Rfam family: Bacterial small subunit ribosomal RNA
Source: RNAcentral